AAAAGGGCCGGUGUGGUCUAAGUUCUCUGCAGGAGACCUUCAGGAAGGUGGUUGGGGCCAUCUGCCCUUUGCUCUGGGGAGCAUAGAGCUCUACUCACUGCAUGCUCUAUAGGGUGGGCAUAGAGAGAGAUCACGCCAAUGGGAGCUGUCCACUCAUGGUGUUUCUUGUGGAUUUUCUUGUAGAAUGUUGGGUGGUGAAGGAGCCUGGGGAAAUAGUUAAUAGUUAAUAACCUGCUGAUUCCUCUUUCUCCCUCCCCGACCAGACCAUGAGAAACCAAAAAUAGGAACUAGGGGUUACAUCCAUGGAGCAAAGUUAACAACACCAAGACCUGCCUUCAAAUUUCAACCCCAGCCCUUAUACUGCAUAGUUUGGGAGUGGGUUGCUUUGCUUCUCUAUGCCAGUUGUAUUCGCUGUAAAAUGGGAUGCUGCCCAGAAAGGACUGAAUAAGGAAAUGAAUGGGAAACUGCCCUGGCUCCCACACAAUCAGAGAGGCCUUUUCUCUUUUGGACAUUCAUUCCUCAGUUGUCCCAAGUUGUCAGUUAUGAGACAACUAGUGGUCUCCCUGUUAACUAUUUAAUGGGACACUUGAGGCCAGGGAGUAUUUUACUGGCCUACACUCAAUUCAGAAGCCUGUUCCCUUUUAUUUUUUUUCUUUGAGACAAGGUCUUGCUCUUUCGCCCAGGCUGGAGUGCAGUGGUGUGAUCACAGCUCACUAUAGCCUUGACCUCCCGGGCUCAUGUGAUCCUCCCACCUCAAUCUCCCAAGUAGCUGGGACUACAAGUACACACCACCAUGCCUGGCUAAUUUUUUAAAUUUUUUUGUAGAGACGGGGUCUCCUGACAUUCCCCAGGCUAGUCUCAAACUCCUGGGCUCAAGUGAUCCGCCCACCUCAGCCUCCCAAAUUGCCAGGAUUACAAGCGUGAGUCACUGCACCUGGCCUCAGUUUCCUUGUUGAUCAGUGAGCCCUAGACAGGAUGAGGAGCCAGCUGUGCCUCAGGCAGGGCCUGCUCACCGGUGUGAAUAGUAGAACAAGACUUCCUCGAUCAGCGUGAAGAUGGCCAGCUCCAGGAGGAACCAGUGGAAGCCAUUUAGCCCCUCUUCAUCAGAGAACCUUGUUCAUGAUUGGAUGCAGAGAUCAAGAUCAUCUGCCUCCUCAAGUGGUCCAGCCUCCCUGCAGUAGGCCCAGAGCAAAGAAGCAGGCUGGAAGUGCAGUUGUGUGAUCAUGGCUCACUGUAGCCUCGACCUGCCAAGCCGAAGUGAUCCUCUUGCUUCAGCCUCCUGAAUAGUUGGGGCUACCGGCACCUGCCACCAUGCCCAGCUAGGACUCGGCUUUGCUUAAUUCCAUGUCUGUGCCCCUCCACCAGCACCCUUCAUGCUCCAUCAACCGAAGUAACUGUGGCGGCUGGGACUUGGAAAAUACUUGCCAGCACUGUAGGGGAGUAGGAUUGGUACAAACCUUCUAGAGGGCAAUUUGGCAGUAACUGAAGUAAUAAAGUGAGAGAGUCAGAGAGCCAAGACAGAAAGGGAGAAAGAAGAAAAGGACACACGUCUGUUUGUAUGCAUAAAUGUCCGUCACAGCAUUAAAAAAAAAAUUUAAGCAGCCUAAAUACCCAUUAGUAGGGAAGGGACUAAACAGAUUAGAGUAUUUCCAUAUAAUGGAAUAGAAUGGGAAGCUUAGAGUAUUAAGUAAGGCUACAUUAAUAGGCAUGGAAAGAUACCUACAAUCUAUUCAAUGAAAAAAAGAUUUAAAAAUAGUUGGUAUCUCAUAAGUACAACUAUAUACCCAAUAUAUAAAAGAUGCACACUAAUAUAUAAACAGUGGUUAUUUCUUGAAGGUAAGACAGUGGGUGAUUUUCACACUUUCUAUGCUUAUUUGAAUUGCCUGAUUUUUAUUUUUAACAAUGAGCACAUAUUUACUUUUGUUUUUUUUUUUUUUUGAGACAGAGUCUUGCUCUGUCACCCAGGCUGGAGUGCAGUGGCGUGAGCUCAGCUCGCUGCAAGAUCUGCCUCCCGGGUUCACGCCAUUCUCCUGCCUCAGCCUCCUGAGUAGCUGGGACUACUGGCGCCCGCCACCGCGCCCGACUAAUUUUUUGUAUUUUUAGUAGAGACGGGGUUUCACCAUGGUCUCGAUCUCCUGACCUCAUGAUCCGCCUGCCUCGGCCUCCCAAAGUGCUGGGAUUACAGGCGUGAGCCACUGCGCCUGGCCCAUAUUUACUUUUAUACCCAGAAAAAAUAAACUAUUUUUUACUUUGGAAAAAAAAGGCUGAUGGUUACCCAGUGGGCCAUCCAAGGUGUCUACCUACUUGGAACUUCAAAGGCUGCCUGAGGAAUACAGAUGAAAAGCACACCGUAAGACGAUCUUAAACUUCUUCUAGCUCUAACACUUAAAAUUGGAAAUAUUUUCUCUCUCUCAUAUUGGCUUAUCACCAAGGUAAUAGGUAAUUUUCACAGGAUUGUACCUAACAUAUAUAAAAUAUUUGAGGUUUUUUUAGAUUGCAGGUUCAAGCUAAUAAAGUUUUUCUACCACCUUCUCCAUAUACAUAGGUAAUCUGCAUUGUUCAAUGACUGCUUAAGAU
Molecule: long non-coding RNA, 2577 nt
Filed under: Homo sapiens (human)
Lineage: Eukaryota; Metazoa; Chordata; Mammalia; Primates; Hominidae
Description: HSALNT0096533
Source: RNAcentral